Aphanomyces astaci is the source of this 71-nucleotide non-coding RNA. Lineage: Eukaryota; Oomycota; Saprolegniomycetes; Saprolegniales; Verrucalvaceae. The record is from the annotation of a RefSeq genome assembly.
GCUUAGGGAGAUUAAGUGGUUAGGACCUUGCCUUUUCACGGCAAAAACACGGGUUCGAUCCCCGUAAAGGA